RNAcentral lists this ribosomal RNA (547 nucleotides) under uncultured Glomus. RNAcentral's name for it is "SSU rRNA". It matches the Rfam family "Eukaryotic small subunit ribosomal RNA", at positions 548 to 1098 of the family's 1831-position model. The record is from RNAcentral. Lineage: Eukaryota; Fungi; Glomeromycota; Glomeromycetes; Glomerales; Glomeraceae.
UUGGAGGGCAAGUCUGGUGCCAGCAGCCGCGGUAAUUCCAGCUCCAAUAGCGUAUAUUAAAGUUGCUGCAGUUAAAAAGCUCGUAGUUGAAUUUCGGGACUAAUAUGUCGGUCGUGCCUCGGUACGUACUGGUUUAUUGGUUUCUCCUUUCUGAAGAACCAUGAUGUCAUUUAUUUGGUGUCGUGGGGAAUCAGGACUGUUACUUUGAAAAAAUUAGAGUGUUUAAAGCAGGCACGCGCUUGAAUACAUUAGCAUGGAAUAAUGAAAUAGGACGUUCGAUCUUAUUUUGUUGGUUUCUAGGAUNGACGUAAUGAUUAAUAGGGAUAGUUGGGGGCAUUAGUAUUCAAUUGUCAGAGGUGAAAUUCUUGGAUUUAUUGAAGACUAACUACUGCGAAAGCAUUUGCCAAGGAUGUUUUCAUUAAUCAAGAACGAAAGUUAGGGGAUCGAAGACGAUCAGAUACCGUCGUAGUCUUAACCAUAAACUAUGCCGACUAGGGAUCGGAUGAUGUUAAUUUUUUAAUGACUCAUUCGGCGCCUUACGGGAAAC